This 236-nucleotide long non-coding RNA is filed under the name Mytilus galloprovincialis (Mediterranean mussel). The record is from RNAcentral. Lineage: Eukaryota; Metazoa; Mollusca; Bivalvia; Mytilida; Mytilidae.
GGACCGUGAAAUUGGGGUCAAAAGUCUAAUUUGGCUUAAAAAUUAGAAAGAUCAUCUCAUAAGCAACAAGUGUACUAAGUUUCAAGUUGAUUGGACUUCAGCUUCAUCAAAGACUUAUCUUGACCAAAAGCUUUAACCUGGACGGACGAACGGAACCACAGACGGACGGACGGACGAACGGAGCCACAGACCAGAAAACAUAAUGCCCCUCUACUAUCGUAGGUGGGACAUAACAA